GACGAACGCUGGCGGCGUGCCUAACACAUGCAAGUCGAGCGGGUGACGUCAGCACUGAGCAUUUGGCAUAGGGCCCAGCGCAUAUGCAGAAACGACCUUGAUGUAAAAGAUAUCAAUAAGAGGUUUCUGCAUCACGCGUAUAUAGUGCCAACACAAAACCGAAGGGUAUGAGUUGCACAUGGGUGGAUACACAGAAAACUGAGGAGCUGAAAUGUUGAGUGCUGGAGGCAACCUAGCGGCGGACGGGUGAGUAACGCGUGGGCAACCUGCCCCAAAGAGGGGGAUAACACCGAGAAAUCGGUGCUAAUACCGCAUAACAUUAGAGCUUCGCAUGGAGCUUUAAUCAAAGGAGCAAUCCGCUUUGGGAUGGGCCCGCGUCUGAAUUAGCUAGUUGGUGAGGUAACGGCUCACCAAGGCGACGAUCAGUAGCCGAUCUGAGAGGAUGACCGGCCACACUGGAA
Molecule: ribosomal RNA, 461 nt
Filed under: uncultured bacterium
Lineage: Bacteria
Description: bacterial SSU rRNA
Rfam family: Bacterial small subunit ribosomal RNA
Source: RNAcentral